RNAcentral lists this ribosomal RNA (289 nucleotides) under Issus lauri. RNAcentral describes it as "partial small subunit ribosomal RNA". The record is from RNAcentral. Lineage: Eukaryota; Metazoa; Arthropoda; Insecta; Hemiptera; Issidae.
AUUUCUGGGGAGUAAUUUUUUUUUAAAUUCAAUGAAUCUGGCGGUUUUUAAAUCUUUUUAGAGGAACCUGUAAUUUAAAUGAUGAUCCACGAUUAAUGUUACCUUGUUUAUUCUUGUAUAUCUCUGUCGUUGAGUGUAAUUUAAAUUUAUUCUCUUUUUUUUUAUAAGAAAUUAUGUUAGGUCAAGGUGCAGUUAUAAUGGGGUUUUUAUGGGUUACAUUAAUAUUUGUUGGGGGUUAAUAUUUUUGAGGAUAUUUUAAACAUGGAUUUAAUAGUAAUUUUUUUUUUUA